AUGAUUAUUAUAAAUAAUGUUGCCCUUUUAUUGUGGAUAGAAAAUGUAGAAGCUAUUCUCUCUGAUUCAGUUUCUGUAAUCUAGAUUAUUCUUAAAGCCCUCGAAGGGCCUCUCUGAAAAAUUUAUGAAGUCUGUGUUCAUGUUGCAAACUUCUUUUUCUUGUUCAGAGGAUUUGUGGAGUAAAUUUAUUUUUUUAUGUUAUUUGGUUUUAACCAACUGUUAUUCCUGUUCUGAUGGUAUAUGCUGUAAAUUG
This 253-nucleotide unclassified non-coding RNA is filed under the name Hevea brasiliensis (rubber tree). Lineage: Eukaryota; Viridiplantae; Streptophyta; Magnoliopsida; Malpighiales; Euphorbiaceae. The record is from RNAcentral.